GACGAACGCUGGCGGCGUGCUUAACACAUGCAAGUCGAACGGUGAAGCGCUUUCCUUUUUGGUUGGUGUGGAUGAGUGGCGAACGGGUGAGUAACACGUGAGUAACCUGCCCCCUUCUUCUGGAUAACCGCAUGAAAGUGUGGCUAAUACGGGAUAUUCUGCGCCUGCUGCAUGGUGGGUGUGGGAAAGAUUGUGCCUUUGGGUGUUUUCGGUGGGGGAUGGGCUCGCGGCCUAUCAGCUUGUUGGUGGGGUGAUGGCCUACCAAGGCGGUGACGGGUAGCCGGCCUGAGAGGGUGGACGGUCACACUGGGACUGAGACACGGCCCAGACUCCUACGGGAGGCAGCAGUGGGGAAUAUUGCACAAUGGGCGCAAGCCUGAUGCAGCGACGCCGCGUGAGGGAGGGAGGCCUUCGGGGUGUGAACCUCUUUCGCCAGUGAAGCAGGCCUGCUCCUUGUGGGUGGGUUGACGGUAGCUGGAGAAGAAGCGCCGGCUAACUACGUG
This 503-nucleotide ribosomal RNA is filed under the name uncultured bacterium. Its description in RNAcentral is "partial 16S ribosomal RNA". It matches the Rfam family "Bacterial small subunit ribosomal RNA", at positions 28 to 507 of the family's 1533-position model. The record is from RNAcentral.